This is a long non-coding RNA of Parasteatoda tepidariorum (common house spider), 337 nucleotides long. NCBI's taxonomy places the organism in Eukaryota, Metazoa, Arthropoda, Arachnida, Araneae, Theridiidae. The record is from RefSeq and is a predicted model, not a curated record.
GGUCUUGGCUCUACAGCAUUUGGAAGUAAUGGGAAACGUGGAACAUUGGAGAUGCGUUAGUACAUUAAAGGGACACUCUGUAGGUUGAACAUUUCUGUUGCUGUGCUGUUGGUAGCAGAGAUCGUUCUCUUUGUUUGGGUUACAUUAAUGAUAAGGCCACCACCAUUCAUGACUUAUUUUCUAACUCUGUUCUUUAUAUAUCAUGGUAGUGUGAAGUUUUAUUAGUUACGUUAACUUAUUUUUUAAAAUUACAAUAGAGUCUCGAUUAUCCAAAUAAAUGUGGACCUAGACUAACCAAUAAACAUGGUUAGAGAGAAAAUUGCAGGUAAAAUAAUUU